Transfer RNA from Puccinia graminis f. sp. tritici, 89 nucleotides. It matches the Rfam family "tRNA". From Rfam's summary of the family: Transfer RNA (tRNA) molecules are approximately 80 nucleotides in length. Their secondary structure includes four short double-helical elements and three loops (D, anti-codon, and T loops). Further hydrogen bonds mediate the characteristic L-shaped molecular structure. tRNAs have two regions of fundamental functional importance: the anti-codon, which is responsible for specific mRNA codon recognition, and the 3' end, to which the tRNAs corresponding amino acid is attached (by aminoacyl-tRNA synthetases). tRNAs cope with the degeneracy of the genetic code in two manners: having more than one tRNA (with a specific anti-codon) for a particular amino acid; and 'wobble' base-pairing, i.e. permitting non-standard base-pairing at the 3rd anti-codon position. Lineage: Eukaryota; Fungi; Basidiomycota; Pucciniomycetes; Pucciniales; Pucciniaceae. The record is from Rfam.
GACUGGAUAGCCUAGUGGUAAAAGGCAUCACUCCUAGUAAAGUGACUUAGCUAAUGCUGAGGUCCCAGGUUCGAAUCCUGGUCUAGUCA